RNAcentral lists this ribosomal RNA (624 nucleotides) under uncultured bacterium. RNAcentral's name for it is "bacterial SSU rRNA". It matches the Rfam family "Bacterial small subunit ribosomal RNA", at positions 56 to 729 of the family's 1533-position model. The record is from RNAcentral.
UGCAGUCGACGACCCUUCGGGGUUAGUGGCGGACGGGUGAGUAACACGUGGGAACGUACCCUUAGGUUCGGAACAACACAGGGAAACUUGUGCUAAUACCGAAUGUGCCCUUCGGGGGAAAGAUUUAUCGCCUUUGGAGCGGCCCGCGUCUGAUUAGCUUGUUGGUGAGGUAAAGGCUCACCAAGGCUACGAUCAGUAGCUGGUCUGAGAGGAUGAUCAGCCACACUGGGACUGAGACACGGCCCAGACUCCUACGGGAGGCAGCAGUGGGGAAUCUUGCGCAAUGGGCGAAAGCCUGACGCAGCCAUGCCGCGUGAAUGAUGAAGGUCUUAGGAUUGUAAAAUUCUUUCACCGGGGAAGAUAAUGACGGUACCCGGAGAAGAAGCCCCGGCUAACUUCGUGCCAGCAGCCGCGGUAAUACGAAGGGGGCUAGCGUUGCUCGGAUUUACUGGGCGUAAAGGGCGCGUAGGCGGACAGUCUAGUCAGAGGUGAAAGCCCGGGGCUCAACCUCGGAAUUGCCUUUGAUACUGGCUGUCUUGAGUACGGGAGAGGUGUGUGGAACUCCGAGUGUAGAGGUGAAAUUCGUAGAUAUUCGGAAGAACACCAGUGGCGAAGGCGACACAC